CAAUUAAACAAUUUAUUAUUGAGCAGUUAAUUGACAAGUUUGCACGUGUCAUGCUAUGAAAAAUUAGCUACUUUCUUGUUAUAUUUUAUAUUGUGGAUAUUUAAUAAAUGCAGCUGUAAACAAAGUUGUUGUGCACAAUACUCGCAAAACUUCGUAUAAUCGUUCAGAGGAAGCAAUUUAACAUCAUUUGAAACAUUUAACUUCGACAGGAUUUGUUUUACUUCGGUGUCCCUGACCGAAUUAUUUGUUUCCAUUGUAGCGCUUUCUCGUCGAUGACCAGUUGUCAUGUCAGAUAUAUACCAAGAAAACCAGAGACGAAGAGAGCAACUCUAUUGUCGUGAUUGUAAAGUCAGACUUCGAGAGGUUGUUUUUAUAAGCUGUCCGUUUCCGCAUCUCUUGUUCUGCAAGAACUGCUUUUUAAAUCAUGACAUUUGUCCAGUGUGUAAUACUCCAGUAAAAGCUCUUAUCAACGUGAUCAUCAAAAACAUUGACAAUCAUUAACAUAGUCGUUAGGGAAGUUAAUGUAGGUUAUCUGUACACGUCUGUGCUGCAUGUCUAAUUCAAAAUGUUAUCUUUGUUCUGUACACUUACCAUAGAUACAAAAAGUAAAUAGUACAAUACAUUUAUUUUUCAAAUAUUAGAAAAUUUCACCAUCCUAUGUUUUUAUAAUCAAUUCUUUUAGUGCCACACUCCAUCUUUGAUUUUUGCCCAAAUUUAGAUCACCCAGUUAUAUUUAGAGUAAUUAUUUCUGCAAAUGCAAAAUUAUUUUUUAUAAAAAAUAAUUAGACGGCGCAUACACGCGCCGUCUAGUAGAUAUGCAUUUGUCCGUAUAGCAAUGGGGAAAAUAUUAGACUUGAGUUUGUGCAUUUUUUUGUUUGAACAAAAUCAAAUUGUUUUCAAAUUUCCUAAUAAAAAAGCUUUUCUGAUGUACAACAUGUCACAGAGCUUUAAAGGAUUAAAAUAAACGUUUAACUGAAGUGAUAGUAUCAUAUUUGAAUAUCAUAUUCUUUUUAUAAUAAAAUGAUUUAUCUACAUAAUAAAUAACGUGCCAAUGAGCCAGUCUAUAGUGAAACCCGUUGAGACCCGCCUUUAAUCUAAUGACGGGCAGGGAACAUGAGGUAUCACUAAAUAUGCAACGGAGAUUAUUUUGGCGCUACGGACACAGCGGAAAUAUUUUUUGCAAAACAGGUAAAGCGUGUGCGGCAUGUUAUUCAUUUAAAUAAUUAACAUUUAAGUUACAAAACAGAUUAACUGAGUGAAAAAAGUACGCUUAUCUAAAACGUAUCACAAAAUAUUUGCAAUAGGUUAUUUUGUGACCGACAAUAGUGUUCUCUUUUGCCUAGACUUUUUAUAACAGUUUGUUGUCCAAUAUCUAGAUUCUAAGCGAAUAUGCAAUCUUUUAUUUAUUCAAGUAGUUUAAUCGUUUAAAAAUAAGUAAACAAUACGUAACAAACAAUUGAUUAUAUAUAACAAUUUAUUCAUAACUAUUAUUUGAUCUUACAGAAAUAUUUUCGCUAUUUGUAAAAUAACAGACAGUUCGUCCUCAAAAUCAUCGAACAUUAUGCAAAUCGCACCAAUAUUUAAAUGGACAUAUUCUCGGCACAUAUUGUCUUGAAUUUAUUUUAAGUUUACCAAUAAUUUCAAUUUCACGUGUUAUCCAAUUUAUUUUGCUUCGACCAGACGUUUCAAUCUUUGUCGCAACAGACACACAUUUCAGAAUUUCAGACACAUACCAAGAACAUGGAGAAAAAAUUAAUAAGUGCUUCGGAUAUUCAACUAUUAUUAGUUACUAUUUCUAUCAUAAUUUAUUGUAUAUUUGGAUAGAAUCAUUGUUUGUUACUAUUUUAUUCAUAUACUGUAUGUAUAUGUUAGUGUUCAUCCGUGCUGUUCUACAGAAAUUAGGAA
Molecule: long non-coding RNA, 1905 nt
Organism: Ruditapes philippinarum (Manila clam)
Lineage: Eukaryota; Metazoa; Mollusca; Bivalvia; Venerida; Veneridae
Exons: 3
Source: RefSeq, a predicted model, not a curated record